GAGUUUGAUCCUGGCUCAGAUUGAACGCUGGCGGCAUGCCUUACACAUGCAAGUCGAACGGCAGCAUGAUCUAGCUUGCUAGAUUGAUGGCGAGUGGCGAACGGGUGAGUAAUACAUCGGAACGUGCCCUGUAGUGGGGGAUAACUAGUCGAAAGAUUAGCUAAUACCGCAUACGACCUGAGGGUAAAAGUGGGGGACCGCAAGGCCUCAUGCUAUAGGAGCGGCCGAUGUCUGAUUAGCUAGUUGGUGGGGUAAAGGCCCACCAAGGCGACGAUCAGUAGCUGGUCUGAGAGGACGAUCAGCCACACUGGGACUGAGACACGGCCCAGACUCCUACGGGAGGCAGCAGUGGGGAAUUUUGGACAAUGGGCGAAAGCCUGAUCCAGCAAUGCCGCGUGUGUGAAGAAGGCCUUCGG
Molecule: ribosomal RNA, 416 nt
Filed under: uncultured microorganism
Description: bacterial SSU rRNA
Rfam family: Bacterial small subunit ribosomal RNA
Source: RNAcentral